CUGCAGGCUGCAACUCGCCUGCACGAAGUCGGAAUUGCUAGUAAUCGUAGGUCAGCAUACUACGGUGAAUACGUUCCCGGGCCUUGUACACACCGCCCGUCAAACCAUGAGAGUUGGCAACACCCGAAGUCGGUAGUCUAACCGCAAGGAGGACGCCGCCGAAGGUGGGGUUGAUGAUUAGGGUGAAGUCGUAACAAGGUAUC
RNAcentral lists this ribosomal RNA (203 nucleotides) under uncultured bacterium. Its description in RNAcentral is "partial 16S ribosomal RNA". It matches the Rfam family "Bacterial small subunit ribosomal RNA", at positions 1298 to 1500 of the family's 1533-position model. The record is from RNAcentral.